GACGAACGCUGGCGGCGUGCUUAACACAUGCAAGUCGAACGAUGAAGCGGGUGCUUGCACUCGUGGAUUAGUGGCGAACGGGCGAGUAACACGUGAGUAACCUGUCCUUUUCUUUGGGAUAACGGCUGGAAACGGCUGCUAAUACUGGAUAUUCAGGCUGCAUCGCAUGGUGUGGUUUGGAAAGGUUUUUUCUGGGAUUGGGUGGGCUCGCGGCCUAUCAGCUUGUUGGUGGGGUGAUGGCUUACCAAGGCUUUGACGGGUAGCCGGCCUGAGAGGGUGGUCGGUCGCACUGGGACUGAGAUACGGCCCAGACUCCUACGGGAGGCAGCAGUGGGGAAUAUUGCACAAUGGACGAAAGUUUGAUGCAGCGACGCCGCGUGGAGGGUGUAGGCCUUCGGGUUGUGAACUCCUUUUUCUCGCGAAAAAGGCACAGUUUUAGCUGUGUUGAUGGUAGUGGGGGAAGAAGCGCCGGCUAACUACGUG
This 483-nucleotide ribosomal RNA is filed under the name uncultured bacterium. RNAcentral's name for it is "partial 16S ribosomal RNA". It matches the Rfam family "Bacterial small subunit ribosomal RNA", at positions 28 to 507 of the family's 1533-position model. The record is from RNAcentral.